This 432-nucleotide ribosomal RNA is filed under the name uncultured bacterium. Its description in RNAcentral is "partial 16S ribosomal RNA". It matches the Rfam family "Bacterial small subunit ribosomal RNA", at positions 29 to 507 of the family's 1533-position model. The record is from RNAcentral.
ACGAACGCUGGCGGCAGGCCUAACACAUGCAAGUCGAGCGCGCCCUUCGGGGUGAGCGGCGGACGGGUGAGUCACGCGUGGGAACGUGCCCUUCUCUGCGGAAUAGCCUCGGGAAACUGAGAGUAAUACCGCAUACGCCCUUUGGGGGAAAGAUUUAUCGGAGAAGGAUCGGCCCGCGUUGGAUUAGGUAGUUGGUGGGGUAAUGGCCCACCAAGCCGACGAUCCAUAGCUGGUUUGAGAGGAUGAUCAGCCACACUGGGACUGAGACACGGCCCAGACUCCUACGGGAGGCAGCAGUGGGGAAUCUUAGACAAUGGGGGCAACCCUGAUCUAGCCAUGCCGCGUGAGUGAUGAAGGCCUUAGGGUUGUAAAGCUCUUUCAGCUGGGAAGAUAAUGACGGUACCAGCAGAAGAAGCCCCGGCUAACUCCGUG